Molecule: ribosomal RNA, 1389 nt
Filed under: metagenome
Description: bacterial SSU rRNA
Rfam family: Bacterial small subunit ribosomal RNA
Source: RNAcentral
GAGUCUGAUCAUGGCUCAGAUUGAACGCUGGCGGCAGGCCUAACACAUGCAAGUCGAACGGUAACAGGAAGAAGCUUGCUUCUUUGCUGACGAGUGGCGGACGGGUGAGUAAUGUCUGGGAAACUGCCUGAUGGAGGGGGAUAACUACUGGAAACGGUAGCUAAUACCGCAUAACGUCGCAAGACCAAAGAGGGGGACCUUCGGGCCUCUUGCCAUCGGAUGUGCCCAGAUGGGAUUAGCUAGUAGGUGGGGUAACGGCUCACCUAGGCGACGAUCCCUAGCUGGUCUGAGAGGAUGACCAGCCACACUGGAACUGAGACACGGUCCAGACUCCUACGGGAGGCAGCAGUGGGGAAUAUUGCACAAUGGGCGCAAGCCUGAUGCAGCCAUGCCGCGUGUAUGAAGAAGGCCUUCGGGUUGUAAAGUACUUUCAGCGGGGAGGAAGGGAGUAAAGUUAAUACCUUUGCUCAUUGACGUUACCCGCAGAAGAAGCACCGGCUAACUCCGUGCCAGCAGCCGCGGCAAUACGGAGGGUGCAAGCGUUAAUCGGAAUUACUGGGCGUAAAGCGCACGCAGGCGGUUUGUUAAGUCAGAUGUGAAAUCCCCGGGCUCAACCUGGGAACUGCAUCUGAUACUGGCAAGCUUGAGUCUCGUAGAGGGGGGUAGAAUUCCAGGUGUAGCGGUGAAAUGCGUAGAGAUCUGGAGGAAUACCGGUGGCGAAGGCGGCCCCCUGGACGAAGACUGACGCUCAGGUGCGAAAGCGUGGGGAGCAAACAGGAUUAGAUACCCUGGUAGUCCACGCCGUAAACGAUGUCGACUUGGAGGUUGUGCCCUUGAGGCGUGGCUUCCGGAGCUAACGCGUUAAGUCGACCGCCUGGGGAGUACGGCCGCAAGGUUAAAACUCAAAUGAAUUGACGGGGGCCCGCACAAGCGGUGGAGCAUGUGGUUUAAUUCGAUGCAACGCGAAGAACCUUACCUGGUCUUGACAUCCACGGAAGUUUUCAGUGAUGAGAAUGUGCCUUCGGGAACCGUGAGACAGGUGCUGCAUGGCUGUCGUCAGCUCGUGUUGUGAAAUGUUGGGUUAAGUCCCGCAACGAGCGCAACCCUUAUCCUUUGUUGCCAGCGGUCCGGCCGGGAACUCAAAGGAGACUGCCAGUGAUAAACUGGAGGAAGGUGGGGAUGACGUCAAGUCAUCAUGGCCCUUACGACCAGGGCUACACACGUGCUACAAUGGACAGAACAAAGGGCAGCGAAACCGCGAGGUUAAGCCAAUCCCACAAAUCUGUUCUCAGUUCGGAUCGCAGUCUGCAACUCGACUCCAUGAAGUCGGAAUCGCUAGUGAUCGUGGAUCAGAAUGCCACGGUGAAUACGUUCCCGGGCCUUGUACAC